CAAAAGGGCAGAUCGUUCUGUGAAGCAUGGGAUGACACUCAAGUUUUCGUCAAUGAGUUGUGAAACGCGUGAGGUGGCAGAGUCAGUACUUGAGAGAAACACAGAAGGCGGUUCCAUUGUGCUGAUUGCUACAGCAGAAUUCUGCCGCACACUGGGUGACAUCCCCACUUAAGGUCUGGCUGGCAGCAGGGAUGAGGACGCUCAGGAACCACUUGACUUGAGACGGAAAUGAUUGAAUGGAAGAAACUUCAGGAAGAAGAAGGCAAACGUGGAGCUUGGAAUGAAGUUGAGAUUUAGAUGAUGAAAAUUUGUACGUAAUGAGCGCUACAGUGGUCCGACCUCAGACUUCAAAGAAAAGGAGGGCUACAAACCAAAUGUUAAACUCAACUACACAGAUUAUGAUGGACACAUACUUAAUACAAAGGAGGCUUUCAGGUUAGCACAGAUAAUAGUAUAUCAGUUUUUUAAGAUAGGUCGCACUGUGGUGGGUAGCCUGUCCAAUGGUAGUACAUUCUUUAGAGCAGAAAAA
Molecule: long non-coding RNA, 529 nt
Organism: Cryptotermes secundus
Lineage: Eukaryota; Metazoa; Arthropoda; Insecta; Blattodea; Kalotermitidae
Exons: 4
Source: RefSeq, a predicted model, not a curated record